Zea mays is the source of this 389-nucleotide long non-coding RNA. RefSeq lists it as uncharacterized. The record is from RefSeq and is a predicted model, not a curated record. NCBI's taxonomy places the organism in Eukaryota, Viridiplantae, Streptophyta, Magnoliopsida, Poales, Poaceae. The transcript has 2 exons.
GUCUGACGAUGAACGUGAAAUGUGUGCAAGGACUAUCUACCGCACAAACAUUGACAAGAAGGUCACUCAAGCAGAUCUAAAGUUAUUCUUUGAGUCCAUAUGUGGUGAGGUUGGUCGUUCUUUACUCCAAACACAAUCUCCCUUCUGUACAGCUAAAAGUUUGCAGAAAUGGCACCAUCAAGAUCGAUCUGGAGACCAACAAGAUCAUGGACUUCAUCAAGUUUGACGUCGGCAACGUGGUCAUGGUGACCGGCGGGAGGAACACCGGGCGUGUAGGAGUGAUCAAGAACAGGGAGAAGCACAAGGGCAGCUUCGAGACCAUCCACGUGCUGUUUGGAGCUUUUUGCUAUGUCUAGUUUUCUCCUAUUUGUUGUACAGGAAAACAUAGA